RNAcentral lists this long non-coding RNA (1025 nucleotides) under Homo sapiens (human). RNAcentral describes it as "HSALNT0140208". The record is from RNAcentral. Lineage: Eukaryota; Metazoa; Chordata; Mammalia; Primates; Hominidae.
UUGGACAUAAAUUUAAUUUUCUCAGCAAGGCCAUUUUUAUACUUUCUGCAGAAAGGGUACACUCGCCAGCAGUUUUGCCACAAGAGUACACUGAACAAAAGAGACAGGGUCAUUUAUAACCUGAUGCAUCGACCUUACUGCUGUGUCUGGUUUCUAUUGGCUGGAACAGGACUUCGCAUUCUGUAUUUGUCUUGAUUGGCUAACACCUUAGAACUUUCUAAAAGAGGCAAAGGCAGAGGAGAACAAAGGAAGGAGGAAGUAACUUGUGGAAUGCUGAGAAAGGAAUUAAGAUGAGGAGAUAUAAUGAAGUUUCCCACUAAAUAAUAUGAAAAAACAAAAUUAAAAACCAAAAAAAUGGAAUGGACAAUAACAGGGCCCACUGAAUAUCCAAAUGAUGAGUUCAAAAAGACCCUCACGAAGACAUAGACUCAUGAAAUUUCAGAACACUGAAGAAAAUGAAAGAGGAAAAAGAAAAAGAAGAAAAAAUAUGUCAUAUCAAAAGGAUCAGGUAUCACAAUAGCUGUUGAUCUUCUCAUCAACAAUGGAACAAAGACUUUAAAUUUCUGAAAGGUCAGAUUAAAAACCACUUAAGAGAAAAAGAGCUCAAAUAUAAUAUUUCCCUGCAUCUUUUCUCAGAAAGCAAAGAGUAGAUGUGCUCCACCAAAAUGAAGGAAUAAACUAAGAACUCUGAGGAUGGCAUGGGAUCCAACACAGGAAAGAGGAGCCAUGAAGCAAAUCUACUGCAUGAGAUUGUGCACUUUGACCUCUGCUGAGCAGGGCCCACACACGACCCUUGUACCUUCUGGUUGGAUUGGCAAUGCAGGCUGAGCUGGUUGUUCUUCAGAAAUAAGCAUUACUGGGCCAAGGUUAAUUAUCCGUCUACUGUGAAAAGAGAAAGGAAACAACUUCACUAUCCCACAAAUGGACUGAGAGCAAAACCUGCAACAUAUGGCCAAAAAUAUGAAAUGUGCUAUACUUGUUUCAUAAAUUAAGUGAAUUAAAUGUCAAGCUGGAGGCAAAACUAC